This 254-nucleotide ribosomal RNA is filed under the name uncultured prokaryote. Its description in RNAcentral is "partial 16S ribosomal RNA". It matches the Rfam family "Bacterial small subunit ribosomal RNA", at positions 524 to 776 of the family's 1533-position model. The record is from RNAcentral.
UACGGAGGGUGCAAGCGUUAUCCGGAAUCACUGGGUUUAAAGGGUGCGUAGGCGGUGGCAUAAGUCAGUUGUGAAAUUCCCCGGCUUAACCGGCGGGACUGCGAUUGAUACUGCGUCACUUGAAUCAGGUUGAGGUAGGCGGAAUGUGACAUGUAGCGGUGAAAUGCUUAGAUAUGUCAUAGAACACCGAUUGCGAAGGCAGCUUGCUGGACCUGUAUUGACGCUGAGGCACGAAAGCGUGGGGAGCAAACAGG